Nyctereutes procyonoides (raccoon dog) is the source of this 2967-nucleotide long non-coding RNA. RefSeq lists it as uncharacterized. Lineage: Eukaryota; Metazoa; Chordata; Mammalia; Carnivora; Canidae. The transcript is spliced from 6 exons. The record is from RefSeq and is a predicted model, not a curated record.
GCCUGAGAUAAGUCACCCCGGAGGAGCUUGAAUGAGAGAAUAGGCUACGUCGACGUUUAGUUCAACGAACCCUCUUCUACAAGGGCGGGAAUUUGUCACCAUGCGGGGGAAUUAAGAAGGAAGUAAGGCAAGAACGAUUGCAACAUUUCCAAGACAUUGCUUCUUUUUUUUCCCUUUUUGUUCCUUUAUCCAAAUUCCAGCCAAAGGAAUUACAUUCUUGGAGAUGUUGGGAAAAGAUUCCUCAGCCUUGGAAGAUAAUUACUCCAAAUAUACAGGGGAGACUUCACACCCAGUGUGGAGACAAACACAGAGCCUGAACUCACGACCCUGAGAUCAAUGCCUGAACUAAGACGAGUCAAAUACUUGACCCACUGAGCCAUCCAGGCAGAUUUUAUUUAUGUAUUCAUGAGAGAGACCAGAGAGGCGGAGAGACAUAGGCAGAGGGAGAAGCAGGCUCCUCGCAGGUAGCCUGAUGCAGGACUUGAUCCUGUAUCCCAGGAUCAUGCCCUGAGCCGAAGGCACUCAACCACUGAGCCAUCCAGGCGUCCCUCCAUGUCAAACUUAACGUUGAGAAGACAUUUCUAAAUUAGUUUAAGAAAUGAAAUUGAAGGGUGGUUUUCUUAACAUCACGUGUCAGAUCUGAUAAACAGUGACCCUUUUUAUAGAAAGGUAAGAGGUUAAUUUGAUGAACAGAAAAUCAGAUCUUAGCAAACAGUUGAUAUUUGAGCAUAAUGUGAAUAUCGUACUCAAUUUUUUUUUCCUUAUGCUUUCAGCUUUCAAAGAUGAUAUAAUUUUCUAAAUCAAUAGAUUUGAUUCAGGGUAGGCAAUUGGUAGCUGGGGUCAGGACUUGUAACCUUGAUGGUCAUCUUUUCUCAAAAAUAAUGAUGUAAUUCAGCCCCUGAAAUAGAUAGGGGCUAUUAGAAUAUAUGAAACUAGAUAUCAUAUAUUCCAGGGUUUAAGUUUGCUUAACUUUUGGAUGUUCUAUAAAUGACUCUUUAAUAUGUCAGUGAACGUCCAUCCUAUAACUUAAGCUUUAUUCAAGAAUAGUAGAUACGUACGUAGGUAGUCAAAAGCUGGGAAUCUCAAAUCUAAUACCACAUUAAUCUGUCACUAAUUAGGCCUGUUGUCUUGGGGUGUUACAAAUUUGAGGAAUAUUAAAUAGAAAAAUUUUUACGACUACUCAAUGUUGAUUUAAAUUCAUUAUUUCAUAAAUUUCUACCAACAUAAAAGUGAUAAAAACUUCGUUUAUAGGCCUUAAUGAAAAGAUUUACAAAUAAGUGCAUUCAAAAACAAAACUAAAAAAUUAAUAGGAUGGAUGCUACUGUUACACAGAAGUAAACAUAGUACUGGCUCGUAUGGAAUAAGUUAUAUACACAUACAGCCUUGUGCCUUGUGAGAAUUGUAAAGUUUUAUAAUCUGGACAACAGUAGAUUUGUCCAGGACUUUACUCUUUUGCAGAACUCAAGAUUAUUGAAAUGAGGAAAGGGGGCCUAAACUCUGAAAAGGAUAUCUUUGGACUGUCUGCAAAUCCUAAUAUGAAGAAUUUUGUAUUACAUUGUCUUCAAACAUUUUUCCAGCUCCAAUGAGUAAUUCAGUUUUUGUUUUUUAUCUAUGGCUAGCUUUGGUUAGUAGUUAGAUUGGAUUAAAAGUUGGCUGUUCUGUGAACUAAUACAAGUUUUUCUUUUUAAAUACAGGUAGUCCUUACUUUGCACUGUUUCCAGUUACUUGAAGAUCAGUUUUCACAGUUGAGUUAAAUAACACCAAUCCCUCUACAACAUGAUUGAAAUUUCAGUUACCGCGAUAGUAACCAGAUUGUUGCAUAAGUUUUGCAGAUAACUCUUUAUUCCACAAAAAAUUAUGCAUAUAAAAGAUGGUCAGUAAACACUUAUAUCGCUUCUUUCAAAGUCUCUUGGUGAUUGAUCACUGAACAUCUAAUAGUUCACACACAGAGUAAAGCAUGUAGUUAUGUUGCCUACUUGUUUCCCAGUGAUAAACCCAUGUGACAGAAUUGGUCAACAAAGAUGACUGGGCAGCAAAGAAAAAGUUUUAACACCAGAAAUGAAAUUGGAUGUCAUUAGAAGAUUUAAAAAUGGUGACAGCAUAGUGAAGACAAGAUAAGACCUGGGCUUACAUGAAGCUAUAAAAUGAACCAUCUUUUUAAAGUUCGAUGAAGCAAGAACUUUUAGGUAAAAUGCUUUAACAUUUUUUAGUUUAAAUUACACUAGGAACAGAAAUGCAUGUAUGGUUGAAAUGGAAUGUUUACUUCUCCUUUGGAUUGAGGACUGUAAAAAUAAAUCCCAGUCAGUUUGGCUAGUAUUCAGGCCAAAGUGUUGAGGUUAGUUGCUGCACUGAAGGAAAAUGGUAAUUACAAGGAGACUGAAAAAGAACAUCUUAUUGCCUUAUAAUAAAGGCUGGUUUCAUUGUUUACAAAGUCAGCAUGAAUUAAUGUUCUGCUAUCUGGUGAAGCUGCAAGCUCAGAGAAGCAUCUGUGAAAUUUGCACCCAUAUUCCAAGAAUCACAAGUAGUCUUUGCUUUGCACAGUAGUGCAAGACUACUAUGUAAAAACUUCACAAGGUUUGGCUGGAAUGCAAUUGGAGUUCUAGAAGAUACAGAUGACCAUGGGAAUGUUGACACUGCUGCCAAUCAAGAAGUAGUUCUACAUAUACAGCCAGAAGAAUUUAGUGAAGGCGAACAUUGUUAUAAAUGACGAAAGCAGUUGUGUGUUGUAAAGGAUCAUUAUGUUUCAGAGGAAGUGAUGGCAGGUGAAAACCACAUUAGAGGAACACUCCUAUUUGAUGACAUUGAAUGCAUAAAUUUUAGAGGCAAAUCCAAACUCAUUUGAAAGGAGUAUGACAGUUUGCCAAGGUGUAGAAAAGAUGCUUGCUCCAUAUUGUAAGUUAUAUGAGAAGGCAAGCAAUAUUAAAACUACUCUUGAGACUUUGAUAAAUAAAAUGCUAGAAUUUUCAA